Molecule: long non-coding RNA, 1117 nt
Filed under: Salmo salar (Atlantic salmon)
Lineage: Eukaryota; Metazoa; Chordata; Actinopteri; Salmoniformes; Salmonidae
Description: lncRNA (ENSSSAG00000082806.1, ENSSSAG00000109300.1)
Source: RNAcentral
GAAAUCUGUCCUUUGAUCUGAUUAGUCCAAAUUGGAGAUUUUUGGUUCCAACUGCCAUGUCUUUGUGAGACGCAGAGUAGGUGAACGGAUGAACUCCACAUGUGUGGUUACCACCGUGAGGUGUGAUGGUGUGGAGGUGCUUUGCUGGUGACACUGUUGGUGAUUUAUUUAGAAUUCAAGGCACACUUAACCAGCAUGGCUACCACAGCAUUCUGCAGCGAUACGCUAUCCCAUCUGGUUUGGCGCUUAGUGGGACUAUCAUUUGUUUUUCGACAGGACAAUGACCCAACACACCUCCAGGCCCUGUAAAGGAUAUUUGACCAAGAAGUGGGCCCAGCUUUACAGAGAAGCACACGCAGAAACCAAGACGUGCCUGUCCCACUUCAUGUCCUGACAACCCUCGGAUUUCUGGAAACCGGCACUUUUCGAAGGGAAUUGGCUGACAGGUCAGGGAUCUCUCAGCCAACCUUUAGCUGCGUUAUGCCAGAUGUGUUAAGUGUUAUAAUUGGAUUGACGCAUCUCCACAUAAAGUUUCCUUACACGGUAGGUGAACAGGCAAAUAAAAAAGUGCAAUUUGCAGCAAUGUCCGGUUUCCCAAAUGUAAUUGGUGCUAUUGACUGCACUCAUGUUGCUAUAAGGGCACAGAGUGAGAAUGAAUUUGCUUUCAUUAAUUGAAAGCAUUAUCAUUCCAUUAAUGUCCAAAUCAUAUUUCAUGUAGACAUGAUACUGACUAAUGUAGUGGCUCGGUGGCCUUGGUCAACCCAUGACUCAAUCAUAUGAAGAAACAACAGUGUUGGGAGCAGACUUGAGGCCGUAGCUGUGCGUGAUGGCUUGCUUCUAGAGCGUAGAGAAUAGGAACUACAAUGUGCGCCAUUGCAAGGUACGCGCUGCUGUGGAGUGCACCAUCGGGCUUCUGAAGGGCAGAUUCCUCAGGCAGAAAUAUUUUAUACAAGCGUGAAAAGGUCUGCAACAUUGUGAGGGUGUGUGCUAUGCUACAUAAUGUGGCACAGCUAAGGAAUGUGGCUUUAACCCCUGACGCUGUUGGUUGUGUUGGCCCCGACGCUGACCCCUAUCCCCAGGCGUUUGACCAAACGCAGCUGCCGUGCACCAGCGAGUG